RNAcentral lists this ribosomal RNA (121 nucleotides) under Pteropus vampyrus (large flying fox). The record is from RNAcentral. Lineage: Eukaryota; Metazoa; Chordata; Mammalia; Chiroptera; Pteropodidae.
GUCUAUGGCCAUGCCACCCUGAACAUGCCUGAUUUUGUCUGAUCCCGGAAGCUAAGCAGGGCUCGGACCUGGUUUAGCACUCAGAUGAGAGACCACUUAAGAAUACCAAAUGCUGUAGACG